GACGAACGCUGGCGGCGUGCUUAACACAUGCAAGUCGAACGGUGAAGCGCCUUCCUUUUUGGUGGGUGUGGAUGAGUGGCGAACGGGUGAGUAACACGUGAGUAACCUGCCCCCUUCUUCUGGAUAACCGCAUGAAAGUGUGGCUAAUACGGGAUAUUCUGGGUCUGUCGCAUGAUGGGUCUGGGACAGAUAUUGUUUCGGUGGGGGAUGGGCUCGCGGCCUAUCAGCUUGUUGGUGAGGUGAUGGCCUACCAAGGCGGUGACGGGUAGCCGGCCUGAGAGGGUGGACGGCCACACUGGGACUGAGACACGGCGCAGACUCCUACGGGAGGCAGCAGUGAGGAAUAUUGCACAAUGGGCGCAAGCCUGAUGCAGCGACGCCGCGUGAGGGAUGGAGGCCGUCGGGUUGUGAACCUCUUUCGCCAGUGAAGCAGGGCUGCCUCGUUUGUGGGUGGGUUGACGGUAGCUGGAUAAGAAGCGCCGGCUAACUACGUG
RNAcentral lists this ribosomal RNA (494 nucleotides) under uncultured bacterium. RNAcentral's name for it is "partial 16S ribosomal RNA". It matches the Rfam family "Bacterial small subunit ribosomal RNA", at positions 28 to 507 of the family's 1533-position model. The record is from RNAcentral.